GACGAACGCUGGCGGCAUGCUUAACACAUGCAAGUCGAACGGAAAGUUCCUGCUUUUGUGGGGUGCUCUAGUGGCGAACGGGUGAGUAACACGUGAGUAACCUGCCCUUGACUUUGGUAUAACUUCAGGAAGGUGGGUCUAAUACCGGAUAGGAUCUCCUGCUUCAUGGUGGGGGUUGGAAGGUUUAGGCGGUUGGGGAUGGACUCGCGGCUUAUCAGGUUGUUGGUGGGGUAGUGGAUUAGCAAGACUUUGACCGGUAGCAGGCCUGAGAGGGUGACAGGCCAAAUUGGGCCUGAGAUACGGCCCAGACUCGUACGGGACGCAGGAGUGGGGAAUAUUGCACAAUGGGCGGAAGCCUGAUGUAGCAAAGCCGCGUGCGGGAUGACGGCCAUCGCGUUGUAAACCACUUUUGCCUGUGACGAAGCGUGAAUGACGGUAAUGGGUAAAGAAGCACCGGCUAACUACGUG
This 468-nucleotide ribosomal RNA is filed under the name uncultured bacterium. RNAcentral's name for it is "partial 16S ribosomal RNA". It matches the Rfam family "Bacterial small subunit ribosomal RNA", at positions 28 to 507 of the family's 1533-position model. The record is from RNAcentral.